AAACUAACAAGGAUUCCCCUAGUAACGGCGAGUGAAGCGGGAUGAGCUCAAAUUUGUAAUCUGGUGGACUCAGUUCAUCCGAAUUGUAAUCUAUAGAAAAGUUUUCCGCGCUGGACCGUGUCUAAGUCCCUUGGAACAGGGUGUCAGAGAGGGUGAGAAUCCCGUGCUUGAUACGACCACCAGUGCUAUGUGAUACUUUUUCAACGAGUCGAGUUGUUUGGGAAUGCAGCUCAAAAUGGGUGGUAAAUUCCAUCUAAAGCUAAAUAUUGGCGAGAGACCGAUAGCGAACAAGUACCGUGAGGGAAAGAUGAAAAGCACUUUGGAAAGAGAGUUAAACAGUACGUGAAAUUGUUAAAAGGGAAACGAUUGAAGUCAGUCGUGCUCUCUAGGACUCAGCCAGUUCUUCUGGUGUAUUUCCUAGUGAGCGGGUCAACAUCAGUUUAGAUCGCUGGAUAAGGUCAUUAGGAAUGUGGCUCCCUCGGGAGUGUUAUAGCCUAGUGUCGCAUACAGUGGUUUAGACUGAGGAACGCAGCUCGCCUUUAUGGCCGGGGUUCGCCCACGUCCGAGCUUAGGAUGUUGACAUAAUGGCUUUAAACGAC
This 599-nucleotide ribosomal RNA is filed under the name Holtermanniella takashimae. RNAcentral's name for it is "eukaryotic LSU rRNA". It matches the Rfam family "Eukaryotic large subunit ribosomal RNA", at positions 62 to 648 of the family's 3401-position model. The record is from RNAcentral. Lineage: Eukaryota; Fungi; Basidiomycota; Tremellomycetes; Holtermanniales.